AAUUUGAAAUCUGGCCCCUUCGGGGUCCGAGUUGUAAUUUGUAGAGAGUGCUUCGGGGGAGACCGCGGUCUAAGUCCAUUGGAACAUGGCGUCCCAGAGGGUGAGAAUCCCGUAUGUGACCGUGGCUCGAACCCAUGUGAAGCCUCUUCGACGAGUCGAGUUGUUUGGGAAUGCAGCUCAAAAUGGGUGGUAAAUUUCAUCUAAAGCUAAAUACGGGCUGGAGACCGAUAGCGCACAAGUAGAGUGAUCGAAAGAUGAAAAGCACUUUGGAAAGAGAGUUAAAAAGUACGUGAAAUUGUUGAAAGGGAAGCGCUGGCAACCAGACCUGCCCGUAGGCGAUCAGCCGCUGUUCUCAGCGGUGCACUCGCUCUGCGAUCAGGCCAGCAUCGGUUCCGGCGGUCGGACAAAGGCCUUGGGAACGUACCUUCCCUUCGGGGGAGUCUUAUAGCCCUCGGUGCAAUGCGGCCAGCCGGGACCGAGGACCGCGCUUCGGCUAGGAUGCUGGCGUAAUGGUUGUCAGCGACCC
RNAcentral lists this ribosomal RNA (526 nucleotides) under Melanelixia californica. RNAcentral describes it as "eukaryotic LSU rRNA". It matches the Rfam family "Eukaryotic large subunit ribosomal RNA", at positions 112 to 650 of the family's 3401-position model. The record is from RNAcentral. Lineage: Eukaryota; Fungi; Ascomycota; Lecanoromycetes; Lecanorales; Parmeliaceae.